UGAGCAACCUGCCCCUGACUCUGGGAUAACCCCCGGGGAAACCGGAGCUAGUACCGGAUACGACACGCGAAGGCAUCUUCUGCGUGUAGAAAGAUUUAUCGGUCAGGGAUGGGCUCGCGGCCUAUCAGCUAGUUGGUGUGGGUAAUGGCCCACCAAGGCGACGACGGGUAGCCGGCCUGAGAGGGGUGACCGGCCACACUGGGACUGAGACACGGCCCAGACCUCCGUACGGGGAGGCA
Molecule: ribosomal RNA, 239 nt
Filed under: uncultured bacterium
Lineage: Bacteria
Description: partial 16S ribosomal RNA
Rfam family: Bacterial small subunit ribosomal RNA
Source: RNAcentral